Molecule: ribosomal RNA, 484 nt
Filed under: uncultured bacterium
Lineage: Bacteria
Description: partial 16S ribosomal RNA
Rfam family: Bacterial small subunit ribosomal RNA
Source: RNAcentral
AUUGAACGCUGGCGGCAGGCCUAACACAUGCAAGUCGAGCGGACGAAGGGAGCUUGUGCCUGGAUUCAGCGGCGGACGGGUGAGUAAUGCCCAGGAAUCUGCCUGGUAGUGGGGGAUAACAUCCGGAAACGGGCGCUAAUACCUCAUACGAUCUGAGGUAGAACGUCGGGGAUCUUCGGACAUAGCCCUUUCAGAUGAGCCUUGCCCGGGUUAGCUAGUUGGUCUGGUAAAGGCGUACCAAGGCGACGAUCCGUAACUGGUCUGAGAGGCUGAUCAGUCACACUGGAACUGAGACACGGUCCAGACUCCUACGGGAGGCAGCAGUGGGGAAUAUUGGACAAUGGGCGAAAGCCUGAAACAGCCAUGCCGCGUGUGUGAAGAAGGUCUUCGGAUGGUAAAGCACUGUAAGUUGGGAGGAAGCGGGGUAUGUUUAUAUCUGCCCGUGUUGACGGUACCAACACAAAAAGCACCGGCUAACUUCGUG